UGUCAAUUCAAAUGCUUUUACAACAAAGAGAUGAAAGAGCUCAAGUAGAACAAUAUAUGCGACUAGUUGCUUUUUGGAACACAGAAAAAUCAAAGGAAAGAAGUGAAAAGAAUAAAAAUGCAAGAAAGCAAAGGAUAAUGAAUCAAACCACAGGAAGGACAUCUUUUUCUCAAGUGCAACAAACAUUGGAAAAAGAAAAGGGACAUCCUCCAACACGAGUUGAAUUAUUUCAUGCAUGUUUUACGCAUGCUAAUGGAACUCCCUCAAGUAAUAUUGUAAAAGAAAGAUUGGUAAGAUGC
Zingiber officinale is the source of this 299-nucleotide long non-coding RNA. RefSeq lists it as uncharacterized. The record is from RefSeq and is a predicted model, not a curated record. The transcript is spliced from 3 exons. NCBI's taxonomy places the organism in Eukaryota, Viridiplantae, Streptophyta, Magnoliopsida, Zingiberales, Zingiberaceae.